Molecule: ribosomal RNA, 370 nt
Filed under: Necora puber
Lineage: Eukaryota; Metazoa; Arthropoda; Malacostraca; Decapoda; Polybiidae
Description: partial 16S ribosomal RNA
Rfam family: Bacterial large subunit ribosomal RNA
Source: RNAcentral
UAGCAUAAUCAUUAGUUCUUUAAUUGAGAACUCGUAUGAAUGGUCGGACAAGAGAAAAGCUGUCUCUAAUAUUAAAAUUGAAAUUGACUUUUAAGUGAAAAGGCUUAAAUAUAUCAGGGGGACGAUAAGACCCUAUAAAGCUUUAUAUGUUGGUAUAAUUUAAUUUAAUUGAAAAUAUAAAAAUUUAUUUAAAUAGACAUAUUUAGUUGGGGCGACUAAGGUAUAAUUAUUAGUAACUGAUUGAAGCUAAAUCAAUGAUGGUUGAUUUACUUAUAAUUGAUCCUUAUUAAAGAUUAAAGAUUAAGUUACUUUAGGGAUAACAGCGUAAUUUGUUCUGAGAGUCCAUAUCGAAGAAAAAGUUUGCGACCUC